Molecule: ribosomal RNA, 192 nt
Filed under: Pratylenchus bolivianus
Lineage: Eukaryota; Metazoa; Nematoda; Chromadorea; Rhabditida; Pratylenchidae
Description: partial 18S ribosomal RNA
Rfam family: Eukaryotic small subunit ribosomal RNA
Source: RNAcentral
UUGAUUACGUCCCUGCCCUUUGUACACACCGCCCGUCGCUGCCCGGGACUGAGCCAUUUCGAGAAACUUGGGGACCGCUGAUUCGGUGGCUUUCGGGUCACCUUUUUGGUGGAAACCAAUUUAAUCGCAGUGGCUUGAACCGGGCAAAAGUCGUAACAAGGUAGCUGUAGGUGAACCUGCUGCUGGAUCAUU